Molecule: ribosomal RNA, 253 nt
Filed under: uncultured bacterium
Lineage: Bacteria
Description: partial 16S ribosomal RNA
Rfam family: Bacterial small subunit ribosomal RNA
Source: RNAcentral
UACGUAGGGUGCUAGCGUUGUUCGGAAUUACUGGGCGUAAAGCGCGCGCAGGCGGCUAUCCAAGUCAGUGGUGAAAGCCCGGAGCUCAACUCCGGAACUGCCAUUGAAACUGUUUAGCUUGAGGAUGAGAGAGGUGAGUGGAAUUCCCAGUGUAGAGGUGAAAUUCGUAGAUAUUGGGAAGAACACCGGUGGCGAAGGCGGCUCACUGGCUCAUUACUGACGCUCAGGCGCGAUAGCGUGGGGAUCAAACAGG